ACCCGGAAUGCCAAUGAAGCAACUUCCUGACCACUUCUGCGCCGUGCGCAGCCACCAGAUCUUUGUGGAUGUCAGUGAAGAGGAAUCUCGGAGAGCACGCACAGACUCUCCUGCAAUCCUGUGCAUCCUUUGCUCUCUCUGGAGCUGCCAGAGAGCUAGUCCCCCAGCUGAAGCAGUUGCAGCUAUUGUAUUUGCAGCUUGGGUCAGCAGCCUGCCAGGGCACCACAUCUACUCCUGAAGGCAGAAAGCUCAAAUACUGGACUAUCCCUGGCUACCCCGCCCCCUGCUCUGCUGGGUUGGCAGCCACUCAGAACGCUGUUCCAGCAAGUGGGCAGGGAGCAAAGUUUUCCCCGCCCCCACGAGGAGGGGAGACCUCACAGUUCCUGAGUGGCUCAGCAGAUCACAGGGACACAAGCAGGACACUGUUUAGUUUUGCGAUGUUCCCCCCCCCAAAUCUCCACUGACUUUCCUGGUGGAUUCUCCCAGAGCUGCAUGGGGGGAAUUGGAACCACCAUGAGGUCUCUGCUGAUCCCCUUCACAUACUUCUGCCUGCAAACCUGGCUGGGAACCGCCCAGGUCUCUGAACGUUUUACUGCCCAGGGAGGGACUGCAGACGUCUCCCUGUCUCCCCUCCGCCCCCCACGCUCCACUACAAAGGCCUCUUGGGCUGUCCCAUCACUGGCGCCGUAUCAAAGUCGCAGUCCACUGUGGUGAGUGUGAGAGGGUCCUGUCCCCUCCCUGGGGCUCCCUGUCCCCUUUUCUUUGUUUUAGUCCAUUACACCCACGCUUGGGCUGUGUCCAAAGUGUUUAUUAUUCACAACCCCCAGUCCCACUCAGACUUCACUGAGGCCCUAGCACCUCUCGGAGCACUCCUCACCUUCCCAACAUGGGGUGGGGAUUAGGGGGACCCGGGCCUGCC
This is a non-coding RNA of Pelodiscus sinensis (Chinese soft-shelled turtle), 919 nucleotides long. Lineage: Eukaryota; Metazoa; Chordata; Testudines; Trionychidae. The record is from RefSeq and is a predicted model, not a curated record.